CAGCCAGUGAAGCCACUAGAUGCAUUGUGUGGACACAGUAAGAUCUCAAUGUGUUACAACUUCACUCUUAGAGAAAAAGAGGAAAGUCGUAUGAGAGGACAGAAGGGCAAGAUGAAAGAAGAUAUUAAGAGAGUGAAACCAGGAUCAAAGAAAGCGAGGCCCGGCUGAAAUCCACCGUAAACAGACUGAAGGAGAGCGAACAGUUGCUGAACUACACUAUAAAGAGGCUGAAAGACAACGAAGCCAUGCUGAGUGACAAUGUAGCCAAACUGGAAGAAAGUGAAAUCAGACUGAAAGCCAGCGAAGACAAACUGAGUGACGUUGAACCCAAGCUGGAGGAAAAUGAAACCUGGCUAAAGAACACUGAGGCACUGUUGGAGAAAACUGAGACCUUGUUGGAAAACAGCAAAACCAAGAUGGAAGAGAAUGAAGAUUUUAUGAAAUACGCCGUGACCAAGGUGAAAGAGAGUGAAGCCUUCGUGGAACAAACCGUAACCAGGCUGAAACAGAGCGAAGUCUCGCUAACGUCACUUUAACCAGGCUGAAAAACAGUGAAUCCAAGCUGAAGAGCAGAGAGGUCUGGCUGAGUAAGACUGAAAGUAAGCUGGUACAAAAUGACAAGAAGCUGCAGAGCAGUGAAGACAAACUGACACGCACUGAAACCAGGUUGAAGACCAGUGAAUCUAAGCUGGAAGAAAGCGAAACCAGGCUGAAGAAAACCGAAUCCAGGCUCACUGACAGUGAAAAGAGGCUGAAGAAAACCGAAACCAGGCUGCAGGCAACUGAAACUGUGCUGAGUGACACUGAGACCAAGCUGAAAGAGAGUGAAACCAGACUGAAGGAGACUGAAGACAAGCUAACAGAAGCUGAAUCCAGACUGACUGUAAGUGAAAGCAAGUUACAGAAUACAGAAGAAAGACUGAAGGCCACGGAAACCAUCCUCAGUAGCACUGAAAAGAGGCUACAAGAAAGUCAGACAAAGCUGAAGACAAUUGAAACCUUCUUGAGCGAAACAGAAGUCAAGCAUAAAAGCACUGAAACCAGGCUGAAGCAGACAGAAACUUUAUUGAGUGCCAGUGAAUCCAAGCUGACGAAGACUGAAGCCUGGCUGAAGACCAGUGAAACCAGGGUGCAAAAAGCUGAAAUCAAGCUGAAGGACACCGAAGCAAGGCUGAAGUACACCGACAGCUGGCUGAAUGCCAGUGAAACUCGGCUGAAACUGAGUGAAUCCCAGCUGAAGAACUUUGAAGUAAGACUGAAGGAGAGUGAGAGUAUGAUGAAGAGCACGGACACCAGGCUGAGGGAGACCGAAAACAAGCUGGUAAUGACUAAAACCAGGCUGAUAACUGCUGAAACACAUGCUGAAAGUCUGCUGAAGACCUUUGAAACAAACCUGAGGCAAAGUGAGACCAGGCUGCAAAGAAGUGAAACUGUGAUAAGAGAAGUGGAAACCGGCGUGAAGGAGAGUGGAACUUGGUGAAAUAUCACCAUCAACAGGAAAGGCGUUAAGACCCACAGCUCAGUGCAGUACGGAGAAAGCUCCAAGGUAAUAUUCAGUGCAGCACUCGGAGCAGGAGGCCAAGCAGUUGGAGUCUACGACACUGACACAACCUUGAUCUACAGAAAAGUGUUCACAGACAUCGGUAAAGCCUACAAUCCGUCCACAGGUGUCUUUAAAGCACCGGUUUCAGGUAUUUAUUACUUCACCUUCUUCUAUCAUGCUGGAGGAGAAGAAGACUCUCUACAAGUAUGACGAGGCCAUCGUCGGGGCAUACGAUCACGAUUCAGAUAAUGACACAACUGAUAAUGGAGGAAAUGCAGUGUUCCUGCAGCUGCAGUACGGAGACCAUGUGUAUGUGACCCUGGGUGCACACUCACAUGUUUGGGGAUGUGACAUGCUGACACCUUUCAGUGGUUCCUUGGUCACUGAGCUGUAAGAAGCAAUCAAUGUAUGUGUAAUAUGUAUGUGACACUAAAAAGGUAAAGCUAAUUUAAAGUUAAGUGUAUUAGAUGGAAUCGGCUUCUCUUGAGCUCAGAUGUGCCUCAGCAACUCCUUCACGUUUGCAUUUUAUCUGAGUGUUUUGAUUUUUUCUGAUUUGAUUUAAGUUCACCACUUUGUGUUUUCUGUGCUAUAUCACUCUAAUGUUUUUCUUUGGAUAUGUAAACACA
Molecule: long non-coding RNA, 2169 nt
Organism: Oreochromis aureus
Lineage: Eukaryota; Metazoa; Chordata; Actinopteri; Cichliformes; Cichlidae
Source: Ensembl